Micropterus dolomieu (smallmouth bass) is the source of this 919-nucleotide long non-coding RNA. RefSeq lists it as uncharacterized. Lineage: Eukaryota; Metazoa; Chordata; Actinopteri; Centrarchiformes; Centrarchidae. The record is from RefSeq and is a predicted model, not a curated record. The transcript is spliced from 3 exons.
UUAUUUAUUUAUCUCUUUCUUGGUGCCAUUCUAUUCUGCAACAGACCUUAAAUUCAUCAUAAGAAUCCACAGAUCAAACAAAGUGAGUAGCCAAACGCCUGCAUGCAUCAGCAUUGCUUCUUGAUUAGACUUAAUUAUAGGUUACAGCACUACCAUUUGCUUUAUUGUUUACCAUUGUCAGAAGAUUGUUGGAAUAGGCUAAUUUGAAGGGAUUAGCAUCAUUAGCAAUAGCAUUUUACUCUAUCUACUUAAAAGUUGCCUGUAGGUUACAUCUCUGUGGUUCUGUGUUGACAUACAUGAGUGGUUCCUCUGUAUAUCUGGUUUUAUGAAUCCACACUAGUGAUAAAUUACAUUUUAAUAGCCUUUUACUGUCCCAAUAUACCUGAUACAUGCUGUCCCAAAUUACCACGACACAUUUGGUAAUUUGGGACAGCAAGAAAAUGUCCUAAUUUAAAAAAUGUAAACAUAUUUUCCAAACAAUAUUUUGUAUGUUGAUACACUAUGACACCAUACAUGUUUUGUAUCAUUUAAAUCUACAUUAUAUCAGUCAUAACAUGUUUUACCCUUUUAUCAAAAUCAAGCUAAAGCCUAUGUCCUUUCUGUUAACUCUUGUUUUUUGGGAUCAACUUCCUGUUUGGUGCAGACCACACCCCCCCGUGUGAUGACACAUAAACUAUGUCAUGUGACUUUAGUUAUGUGCAUUCACAGCAAGGUCUUAGCACCAAUAACUUUGACUUUUCAGGGGAGAAGAAAAAGGCUUUUUUCUUAUGCUGUCCCAAAUUACCUGAAUUCACCCUAAAUCUAUAGAGCUAGAAAACAAACCAGUGAGGAAGGAUAAGAAGCUGUUUCCUGAUUUGUCUCUGACUCUGCUGACACACCCAGUAACCAGCCUGUAUUGUCUCCAACCUCGACAUCCCAG